GCACUCUGCAACUCGAGUGCAUGAAGGUGGAAUCGCUAGUAAUCGCGGAUCAGCAUGCCGCGGUGAAUACGUUCCCGGGCCUUGUACACACCGCCCGUCACACCAUGGGAUUUGGUUCGACCUUAAGCCGGUGCGCGAACUCGCAAGAGACGCAGCCGACCACGGUCGGGUCAGAGACUGGGGUGAAGUCGUAACAAGGUAGCCGUAGGGGAACCUGCGGCUGGAUCACCUCCUUUCAAGG
Molecule: ribosomal RNA, 241 nt
Filed under: Sphingomonas sp.
Lineage: Bacteria; Pseudomonadati; Pseudomonadota; Alphaproteobacteria; Sphingomonadales; Sphingomonadaceae
Description: partial 16S ribosomal RNA
Rfam family: Bacterial small subunit ribosomal RNA
Source: RNAcentral